AUGAAUGUCCUUGCCUGGAACUGUCGAUGCUUGGGGUUGGACUCGACAGUUGGCGAACUUCGUGACCUGGUUAGGUCCCACAACCCGGCGGUGGUUUUUCUGAGCGAGACAAAGAAGAGUGCAAAAGCGAUGGAGAAAUUGAAGUGGAGUUUGGGGUUCAGGAGCGGGGUGGCAGGGAGUUGUGUGGGUAGAAGUGGUGGUCUUGCUUUGUGG
Molecule: ribosomal RNA, 213 nt
Filed under: Triticum aestivum (bread wheat)
Lineage: Eukaryota; Viridiplantae; Streptophyta; Magnoliopsida; Poales; Poaceae
Description: partial small subunit ribosomal RNA
Source: RNAcentral